This 443-nucleotide ribosomal RNA is filed under the name uncultured bacterium. RNAcentral's name for it is "partial 16S ribosomal RNA". It matches the Rfam family "Bacterial small subunit ribosomal RNA", at positions 338 to 795 of the family's 1533-position model. The record is from RNAcentral.
CCUACGGGGUGCAGCAGUGGGGAAUAUUGGGCAAUGGGCGCAAGCCUGACCCAGCAACGCCGCGUGAAGGUAGAAGGCCCUCGGGUUGUAAACUUCUUUUAUCCAGGACGAAACAAAUGACGGUACUUGAUGACUAAGCCACGGCUCACUCCGUGCCCGCAGCCGCGGUACUCCGUAGGUGGCAAGCGUUAUCCGGCGUUACUGGGUGUAAAGGGCGUGUAGGCGGGACUGCAAGUCAGAUGUGAAAACCAUGGGCUCAACCCAUGGCCUGCAUUUGAAACUGUAGUUCUUGAGUGUGGGAGAGGCAGGCGGAAUUCCGUGUGUAGCGGUGAAAUGCGUAGAGAUACGGAGGAACACCAGUGGCGAAGGCGGCCUGCUGGACAAUAACUGACGCUGAGGCGCGAAAGCGUGGGGAGCAAACAGGAUUAGAUACCCGAGUAGUC